UCAUAUCACGUUGAAACACCUGUUCCCGUACAACGACCGAAUUUAAGCAACGUCGAACCUGGGCAGUACCUGAUUAGGUGACAGCUUGGGAAUACCAGGUGCUGUAAG
Acanthosepion pharaonis is the source of this 108-nucleotide non-coding RNA. Lineage: Eukaryota; Metazoa; Mollusca; Cephalopoda; Sepiida; Sepiidae. The record is from the annotation of a GenBank genome assembly.